CCUACGGGAGGCAGCAGUGAGGAAUAUUGGUCAAUGGGCGGGAGCCUGAACCAGCCAAGUCGCGUGAGGGAAGACGGUCCUAUGGAUUGUAAACCUCGUUAGGCGGGGAGCAAUGCCGGGCACGCGUGCCCGGAGGGAGAGGACCCGCAGAAUAAGCAUCGGCUAACUCCGUGCCAGCAGCAGCGGUAAUACGGAGGAUGCGAGCGUUAUCCGGAUUUGUGGGGUUUAAAGGGUGCGUGGGCGGAUUUUUAAGUCAGGGGUAAAAUGUCCGGGCUCAACCCGGGCCGGCCGUUGAAACUGGGGAGCUUGAGUGGGCGAGAAGUAUGCGGAAUGCGUGGUGUAGCGGUGAAAUGCAUAGAUAUCACGCAGAACUCCGAUUGCGAAGGCAGCAUACCGGCGCCCGACUGACGCUGAGGCACGAAAGCGUGGGGAUCGAACAGGAUUAGAUACCCUUGUAGUC
RNAcentral lists this ribosomal RNA (460 nucleotides) under uncultured bacterium. RNAcentral's name for it is "partial 16S ribosomal RNA". It matches the Rfam family "Bacterial small subunit ribosomal RNA", at positions 338 to 795 of the family's 1533-position model. The record is from RNAcentral.